GACGAACGCUGGCGGCGUGCUUAACACAUGCAAGUCGAACGGAAAGGCCCUGCUUGCAGGGUGCUCGAGUGGCGAACGGGUGAGUAACACGUGGGUGAUCUGCCCCUUACUUUGGGAUAAGCCUGGGAAACUGGGUCUAAUACUGGAUAGGACCAUGCUGUAGGUGGUGUGGUGGAAAGAUUAGUUUCGGUAAGGGAUGAGCUCGCGGCCUAUCAGCUUGUUGGUGGGGUAAUGGCCUACCAAGGCGUCGACGGGUAGCCGGCCUGAGAGGGUGGACGGCCACAUUGGGACUGAGAUACGGCGCAGACUCCUACGGGAGGCAGCAGUGGGGAAUAUUGCACAGUGGGCGCAAGCCUGAUGCAGCGACGCCGCGUGGGGGAUGACGGCCUUCGGGUUGUAAACUCCUUUCAGCCAUGACGAAGCCCUUGUGGUGACGGUAGUGGUAGAAGAAGCACCGGCUAACUACGUG
RNAcentral lists this ribosomal RNA (469 nucleotides) under uncultured bacterium. Its description in RNAcentral is "partial 16S ribosomal RNA". It matches the Rfam family "Bacterial small subunit ribosomal RNA", at positions 28 to 507 of the family's 1533-position model. The record is from RNAcentral.